RNAcentral lists this ribosomal RNA (399 nucleotides) under uncultured Prevotella sp. RNAcentral's name for it is "bacterial SSU rRNA". It matches the Rfam family "Bacterial small subunit ribosomal RNA", at positions 354 to 749 of the family's 1533-position model. The record is from RNAcentral. Lineage: Bacteria; Pseudomonadati; Bacteroidota; Bacteroidia; Bacteroidales; Prevotellaceae.
UGAGGGAAUAUUGGGUCAAUGGGCGAGAGCCUGAACCAGCCAAGUCGCGUGAGGGAAGACGGUCCUACGGAUUGUAAACCUCUUUUGUCGGGGAGUAAUAGGCGGGACGUGUCCUGCUGUGAGAGUACCCGAAGAAAAAGCAUCGGCUAACUCCGUGCCAGCAGCCGCGGUAAUACGGAGGAUGCGAGCGUUAUCCGGAUUUAUUGGGUUUAAAGGGAGCGCAGGCCGCUGGGCAAGCGUGUUGUGAAAUGCAGUCGCUCAACGUCUGCACUGCAGCGCGAACUGCCCAGCUUGAGUGCGCGCAACGUUGGCGGAAUUCGCCGUGUAGCGGUGAAAUGCUUAGAUAUGGCGAAGAACUCCGAUUGCGAAGGCAGCUGACGGGUGCGUAACUGACGCUCA